This 123-nucleotide ribosomal RNA is filed under the name Petromyzon marinus (sea lamprey). The record is from RNAcentral. Lineage: Eukaryota; Metazoa; Chordata; Hyperoartia; Petromyzontiformes; Petromyzontidae.
GUCUACGACAAAAUCACCCGAUAAACGCACCUGAUGGCAUCGCAUCUCAGAAGCUAAAUAGGGUUGAGCCUGGUUAGUACUUAAAUGGGAGACUGUUUAGGAAUACUUGGGUUUUCGAGGAGG